RNAcentral lists this ribosomal RNA (759 nucleotides) under Cedecea colo. RNAcentral's name for it is "partial 23S ribosomal RNA". It matches the Rfam family "Bacterial large subunit ribosomal RNA", at positions 14 to 815 of the family's 2925-position model. Lineage: Bacteria; Pseudomonadati; Pseudomonadota; Gammaproteobacteria; Enterobacterales; Enterobacteriaceae. The record is from RNAcentral.
AGCGUACACGGUGGAUGCCCUGGCAGUCAGAGGCGAUGAAGGACGUGCUAAUCUGCGAUAAGCGCCGGUAAGGUGAUAUGAACCGUUAUAACCGGCGAUUUCCGAAUGGGGAAACCCAGUGCAAUCCGUUGCACUAUCGUUAAGCCAAUACAUAACUUAACGAAGCGAACCGGGGGAACUGAAACAUCUAAGUACCCCGAGGAAAAGAAAUCAACCGAGAUUCCCCCAGUAGCGGCGAGCGAACGGGGAACAGCCCAGAACCAGCAUCAGUUUGUGUGUCAGUGGAAGCGUCUGGAAAGGCGCAGGGUACAGGGUGAUACUCCCGUACACAAAGGCACACCUUCUGUGAGUUCGACGAGUAGGGCGGGACACGUGGUAUCCUGUCUGAAUAUGGGGGGACCAUCCUCCAAGGCUAAAUACUCCUGACUGACCGAUAGUGAACCAGUACCGUGAGGGAAAGGCGAAAAGAACCCCGGCGAGGGGAGUGAAACAGAACCUGAAACCGUGUACGUACAAGCAGUGGGAGCCUCUUUUAUGGGGUGACUGCGUACCUUUUGUAUAAUGGGUCAGCGACUUAUAUUCUGUAGCAAGGUUAACCGUAUAGGGGAGCCGCAGGGAAACCGAGUCUUAACUGGGCGUUAAGUUGCAGGGUAUAGACCCGAAACCCGGUGAUCUAGCCAUGGGCAGGUUGAAGGUUGGGUAACACUAACUGGAGGACCGAACCGACUAAUGUUGAAAAAUUAGCGGAUGACCUGUGGC